CGAGCGUCAUUACACCACUCAAGCCUCGCUUGGUUUUGGAGGAUGCGGUCCGCCGCACCUCUCAAAUCCUCCGGCUGAGUUCACCGUCUCUUAGCGUUGUGGCAAGUCUUUUCGCUUCUGAGAUCGGUGGUGCUCACGCCGUUAAACCCUUCUAUUCAAAGGUUGACCUCGGAUCGGGUGGGAAUACCCGCUGAACUUAA
This 200-nucleotide unclassified non-coding RNA is filed under the name soil metagenome. RNAcentral describes it as "partial contains internal transcribed spacer 2 and large subunit ribosomal RNA". The record is from RNAcentral.